GGUUUGCUUUUUCCCGUCAUCCCUUGUGUGGUAUAAAUAUCCUCGUCGUUGGCUUCUUUUUCUUUUUCUCGCACAUGGGGCGACGAGUCUGAGUGCUUCGAGGACAUCAUUAGAUGCUGCUGAAGAGGGCAUUUAAACCACAGGUGAACAUGUCCAGCUUGGAAAUGCAAGAACCCCUGAAUAAAGUCCAAUGCAUGCUGUUGAAGAGGGCAUAUAUUCUCAAAAUGAGCGUGUACAACAGCCUAGAUGAGGCUUGAACAGCAGGUAUUCUGCAUUUGCUGUGUCCUCAUGGUGGUUGUCUAUCCCACCUUGUCCCUGGCGCCUGAGCAAGGAACUGUUGCUGCCGUUCUCAUGGGGCUGACAUCUGGAAGUGGUGAGGGUCAGCCUUCUGGACAUCAUGAGCACCAGAGUUCCACAAGAUCUAACCAGCCUUGAAGUCUGGACUGGCUUCUGGAUGCUCUUCUGUCUACACUUUGCAAGUGGAAGGUCAUUCUAAAGAGCAAAAAAAUCCUGGAGAAGACAUUGGGAAGGUAGUCUUGUGAAAGCAUUGACCUUAACAGUACCGCAAAAGAACACCAAGCUCUACAGAUGAAGAAACCUGGAAAAAUAGCUGAAAUUGAGGUUCUUAAAUUGUUCCCAACAGGUGAAGGGCGGUGACCAGACCACGCUCAAAAGGCUAAACAGUGUAUUGCAGUUAGUGAUUAUGUGGAAAAACAAAAUAGAAUAUGAAACUUAUAAAUGUAACUAUUCAAAGAAACAAUAUGUAACUUCACUAAAACAAUAGUUACGGCAUGCAAAACCAAUAAUAUAUUUAACAGUUAUUUCAAAUUGCCUACCUAUAACUUCCACCAGCCCAAACUAGUUGAAAGCUUUACUGCGUUUCAGUUAUAUAACUUAUCCUAGAUAUUAAGAAAAGGAAAAUAUAUAAUGGAUAUCCUGACCAUUGGCCAUGCAGGGAUUCAAAGGAACCAAUGUUAGUGAGUUCUCAAGGAAGAACACAUAGAUGAGUGGAGGAUCCAAUGGGUAGGAUCCAGAUGAAGGGGGAAAGGUUGGAAAAAUAAAAUGGUGGAGUAUAAGCCUCACCUGAGAACAAUCAAUAACAAAAACCCAAAUAAUAUUCAGAAUUGUUAAUGGGCUCCAACCACAAAGGACGUAGCUCAGAGGAAAAAGGCUACCAACAGGUUCAAAACAAGAAAUCACUUUUGAAAAAGAGGGCACAAAAGCAAACUCGGCUUCACAGGCCCCAGAACAAUGGAACUAGGCAAACCAAAGAUUAAGCAAAGGGAAAGCACGCCAGCCCCGAGUUCAGUCUCUUGAUCCUCCUGACACCCCCAAUUUUCUGAAUUGUUUUUGGGGUUGAUGUGAUUCCAUGCUUUAUCGAGGUACAGGGAUCCUUAUGAAGGACAUUCAGCACUAUUAGCUGCAAGGAGUAACAGAUCUUGCAGCCACUUAAACUCUUCUUAGUUCAGCUCAGGCCUUGCCAGCAUUUCUGCUGCUUGCAUGUUCCAGACAGAAAGAUGGUUUUGCCCUCCAGACAGGCAUUCAGUCCUGUUUGCAUCAGGAGCCAGUGUCUUCUGACCACAGUUUCGGGAGCGAUUACUUUCGCUGUGCACACAAGUCUGCCCCCAAAACUGAGGCCAUUAACAAUGGCUACCUCUGCUCUCCACCUCCAGUGUGCCCUCCAGACGCCCAUCAUCCCUGACUGCUGACUGUGCUGGGUGGGGCUGAUGGGAGUCCACAACAUCUGGAGGGCACUACGUUGGCUUUCUCUGGUGUAGACCAAGCAGCAACAUGAUGGAAGACUAGCAUUGAUAGAAGGAAAGCUACAUUGGUACAGAUACUAAUAUGACCAGGAAUCACCUCGAGGCCUUAAUGAGCUAAUGUGGAGAAUGGUCACCGUGAGUUUUUUCCUGAUAAGCAGCCGCCCCCAUGGUGGGAACAAGACAACCAGAUCUGUGAGGUACUGCUAGUGGUGUGUGUGUAUGUGCUCUGAGCAAAGUUUUUUGCAGAACCUGGGGGCAGAGAUAAUGGUGCAAUGCCACAUUAUUGUGGUUGGGAUGAAGCUGUGUUUGUUUGCGGAACCUGACAACUGAUUCAUGCCUGUAUUCUUUUUUUCUUGCAACCAACAAUGGUUUCAGAUUUGAAGAACUCCAUUAUAUUUCCAUAUAAUAGAUGGCGUGUUAAAAAUAGAAAUAAAGCUUAUUUUACUGUG
This is a long non-coding RNA of Rhineura floridana, 2212 nucleotides long. RefSeq lists it as uncharacterized. The record is from RefSeq and is a predicted model, not a curated record. Lineage: Eukaryota; Metazoa; Chordata; Lepidosauria; Squamata; Rhineuridae. The transcript has 6 exons.